ACUAAAAUUAUGUGUUAACUAUUUCUACUUUUCUUAUUUUUCCUCUUAAUUUUCACCAAAAUUGUAACUAUGAGUAAUAUAUGUUUGCAACAAGUCAAUUAACAAAGAAGGGUAGAAACAACCAGUACAUGCGUGAUGCCGGAAACAAUUAGGUUGGAAUCCCGUCCCCUUUCGUUUGUAUCGCUCUCGUGACUUGGCUCAUUCGCACCAAAAAAAAAUAAAAAAAAUUGAUCGCUCUCUCUCCUCGAUGCUUUGUUCUGUUUGCACUUCAUCUUCUUCGCCAAGCUUCAUCAAUUCAGGCACGAUUAAUUCAAAAAAAAGAUUUGCUUCGCCCUAACAAUUUUUUUCUACUCGAACUAUUUAAGAGCAAAAGCCCCAACUUUUUUAUUUCAAUUCGUCCAAUUUGAUUAUUGUGGAAGUUAGGGUUCAUCUCCAAUUUUUUUGUGCCAUGGCAUUGGAAUCAUAUACCCAGAUUUCUGAUUCAAUAUUCUCUAUUUUAAAUUUAUUAAUAUUCAUAUUUUUGUUUUAUUUUUUUGUUUAUUUGGGAGUAUUUUUCAUAUGGGUGUUAGAUUAGAUUUUCAAGGGCUUUUGCUAAAAGUAGUUGCUUUUUGAAGCAUUUGGUGCUUUUUUCUUCUUCUGGGAUUUCUGUUGUUAUUGUUAAUGGGCGCUUUAGAUGAGGGUCGUAUGAUGUGGAGCUUGAAAAUUCAUUGAAAUUGUUGGAAGUUAAAGGUAAAGUUGGAGAGAGAGUGAGCAUAUUAGUUUUUUUAGGGUUUUUUUGGGGUUUUUUUAAGCGUGAAAUUAGAAGAAAAUCAUAAAGAAGAAAAAAAUCCAUUUUUUAUAGGCAUGUGACCCGCAUGCGCGGGUCAAUGUCGGAAAAAUUGAUUCAACCGCCAGAAAAUGGGUGCAGGUCCCAAUUCACAACAAAAACAAUGAAUUUAGGUCCUAUCUCACAACUUUUUUUAAUAAGUUCCUUUGUCACAAUUUUUUUACUUUAAAAUGUCAUUUUUGACACAACAAUAAUCCUAAACAUAAUAUAUAUAUAUAUAUAUAUAUAUAUAUAUAUAUAUAUAUAUAUAUCACUACUACAAAAAUGGGCAAAGAGACCCUAAAGAAAAGACCCAUUGGUUGAGAUAACGGGUCUCUUCAAUAUAAAAGACCCAUUAUUUGAGAUAACGGGUCUCUAAUGAAUGAAAUAAGACAACCUAAACUAAAUUAAGAAUAGCAAGAGACCCGUUAUUUGAUUUAACGGGUCUCUAAUUUACCAUAGGGCCCACAUUCUCUCCACCGAAAAUAAAAAGGGAGAACUAAAAGACCCGUUAUUUAAAACAACGGGUCUCUCCAUGCACUGGAGCCACGGAUUUAAAAAGAAGGAGAAAAGGAAGAGACCCCUUAUUUGUUUACCGGGUCUUUUGCUCUUCCUUCUUCAAAUCUCCCCACAAAUUAAAUGGCAAAAUAAAUGGCAAAAUAAAUAAGGUCUUUUCCAUCUCUCUUCCUCCAUACCACACCUCUCGAUCUGAGAGACCAAAGUGUAGAAAAUCUCCGCGAUGUUGUAGAAUCCAAGGUUCAACGCUUCAAAAUAUUCUCAGAUCUGAACCAGAAGAAAUUACGGCAUAUGCUAAUUUUCAACCUCGAAGAGUUCAUCGCUCUAGCUAUUUUACAGAGAACAUAGCUUUUUGAAUAUGCAAAGUUUCUUGGGAACUCUCAGUUUUCUCUGCUUCAACUCCAGUCAUACAAACUUGUAUAUGCGCACAUGUUGGCCGAGGUUGGAAGGAUUUCGGAUUCAUUGAAAUACUGGCAAGCUGUUUACAAAUCUCUCAAAUUGGACGAUCACCGGAAGAAGAUACAUUGAAACAGUUAUUAUCAUCUCUUGAAGAGAGGAUUAGGACACACCAACAGAGUGGAUAUGCAGCUAACUUGGCUCCAGGAAAGAUAGUGGUUAAAUUGCUCAACUUUUUUGAUAGUAUAGUUCAUCGCAUUGCUCAACUUUUUUGAUAGUACAGUUCAUCGCAUUGUUGAUAGUACUGGUUAAAUGUGUUUCCCAAGACUGUUGUGACUCACGAAUAAUCUGCCGUAGGUGAUUUUGAUCUACUUACCUCUUGAUUUGUUUGAGUUUUCAAUUAAAUAGCUAUCUCGACCUCUAUUUUGGUGUUUUAGUUCCAAAACUCUUUCAGAAUAGGCAUUUGUUUUUAUUUUGGCUCCUCCAAGUCUUAUUUUGUGUUUCCUCGUUUCAUGAACAAGUGAUCGGGCUGCUGAUGAGUCUCAGAGCAAUCAAGUGAAAAGAAAGAAGAUGCUGACCAAAUAAGUAAUGGUAUUGGGAGCGCUGCGGUGCAGGUUUUCCAGGGACAAUCCGAUGUUCUUCUCAGACAUGAAUUUAGUAAGCCAGUACAAGAGACAGAUUAUUUCUGAACCACAUAUACUUGCAAUUGCAUUUGUGUUGUUGCUUCAGGUUAAAAAUUGUUUGAAUGUAUGUUGGGUGAAAAGGAAGAAUAAUAAGAAGAAAAAGGCUAACACAAGCAAGCAAAAACAAAAAUACAGUAGGUGCCACAAGUUUGCCGGUUUUGCAAAGUGUGGCAGGCUUAUUGGCUAUAUGAACAUUGAGAUGAUUCCAUUAAAGUUUGUGAAGCAUUAGAGGAAAACUUGAUGAAUAUGGAAUGCAGAUUUGACAAUUAUAUGAAGUUGCUUGAGGAGGAAGGAUGCCAACACGCAUAAACUUAAGCUGAAUGUACCCAAGGAACCCUUAAUUGAGUUUGAUGACUAACUUGAAUCGUUGAUUGUAGUGGAAGUUGAACCAAGUGCGCAUAUUUCAAUUCUCCAUUAUAGAGUGGCUAAUGGCUAAAGAUAUGUCCUGUCAUGAAUUAUUUGUUUUUGUAGAAGGUUUUUAUUGUGACACAAGUUGUAGAAGAUUUUGAUGAAAUAUUUAUUUAUUUAAUUGUUUGUUAAUAAAAAUAUUUUGUCAUUUUUGUGUGUAGUUCAUUAUUGGAGCGUAAUAAUAGUGGUUAGUGCGCAGACAGAG
This is a long non-coding RNA of Spinacia oleracea (spinach), 3013 nucleotides long. RefSeq lists it as uncharacterized. NCBI's taxonomy places the organism in Eukaryota, Viridiplantae, Streptophyta, Magnoliopsida, Caryophyllales, Amaranthaceae. The record is from RefSeq and is a predicted model, not a curated record. The transcript is spliced from 5 exons.